This 379-nucleotide ribosomal RNA is filed under the name uncultured organism. Its description in RNAcentral is "partial 16S ribosomal RNA". It matches the Rfam family "Bacterial small subunit ribosomal RNA", at positions 527 to 897 of the family's 1533-position model. The record is from RNAcentral.
GUAGGUGGCAAGCGUUGUCCGGGAAUUAUUGGGGCGUAAAGCGCGCGCAGGCGGUUCUUUAAGUCUGAUGUGAAAGCCCACGGGCUCAACCGGUGGAGGGUCAUUGGAAACUGGAGAACUUGAGUACAGAAGAGGAAAGCGGAAUUCCACGUGUAGCGGUGAAAUGCGUAGAGAUGUGGAGGAACACCAGUGGCGAAGGCGGCUUUCUGGUCUGUAACUGACGCUGAGGCGCGAAAGCGUGGGGAGCAAACAGGAUUAGAUACCCUGGUAGUCCACGCCGUAAACGAUGAGUGCUAAGUGUUAGGGGGUUUCCGCCCCUUAGGUGCCUGCAGCUAACGCAUUAAGCACUCCGCCUGGGGAGUACGGCCGCAAAGGCUGA